AUUGAACGCUGGCGGCAUGCCUUACACAUGCAAGUCGAACGGCAGCACGGACUUCGGUCUGGUGGCGAGUGGCGAACGGGUGAGUAAUAUAUCGGAACAUACCUUGUAGUGGGGGAUAACUAUCCGAAAGGAUAGCUAAUACCGCAUACGCUCUAAGGAGGAAAGUGGGGGAUCGCAAGACCUCAUGCUAUAAGAGUGGCCGAUAUCUGAUUAGCUAGUUGGUGAGGUAAAGGCUCACCAAGGCGACGAUCAGUAGCUGGUCUGAGGGGACGACCAGCCACACUGGAACUGAGACACGGUCCAGACUCCUACGGGAGGCAGCAGUGGGGAAUUUUGGACAAUGAGGGCAACCCUGAUCCAGCAAUGCCGCGUGAGUGAAGAAGGCCUUCGGGUUGUAAAGCUCUUUUGUCAGGGAAGAAACGGUUGUGGCUAAUAUCCAUGGCUAAUGACGGUACCUGAAGAAUAAGCACCGGCUAACUACGUGCCAGCCGCCGCCGUAA
Molecule: ribosomal RNA, 500 nt
Filed under: uncultured bacterium
Lineage: Bacteria
Description: partial 16S ribosomal RNA
Rfam family: Bacterial small subunit ribosomal RNA
Source: RNAcentral